CCCAAUAUCUGUUGAAUAAAUCCUAAAAAUAUACGUAGUUUGAACAUGUCAAAGUGUUAAACACCUGAAUUUUUGAAAACUGUAUCGAGCCACCUUAACAGCUGGCCUCUGUAGCUCAGUUGGUUAGAGCACUGCACCGGAAUCGCAGGGCCGUAGGUUCAAUUCCUACCAGAGGACCUUGUGUUGCAUUUUUCGCUGUCGUUCCUGGUUAGGUCUUAAAAUGUAUAUAUUCUCACUUGGAUUACAAACCCUAACAUCCUAAUAUUAAUUCCACCAAGUGAAGUGCAAAAAUCUAAAUCAUUCAAGUCCACCUUAUCACAAUCCGCAUGCACACCCGAUUACCUAUAUAUACAUGAACUUACGGUUACAGCUUAACAGCUGGCCUCUGUAGCUCAGUUGGUUAGAGCGCUGCACCGG
This is a non-coding RNA of Paramuricea clavata, 417 nucleotides long. Lineage: Eukaryota; Metazoa; Cnidaria; Anthozoa; Malacalcyonacea; Plexauridae. The record is from the annotation of a GenBank genome assembly.